Non-coding RNA from Acanthosepion pharaonis, 112 nucleotides. The record is from the annotation of a GenBank genome assembly. Lineage: Eukaryota; Metazoa; Mollusca; Cephalopoda; Sepiida; Sepiidae.
UUACGGCCACAUCACAUUGAAACACCUUUUCAAAUACGAUCACCGAAGUUAAGCAACGUCGAGCGUGCUCAAUACCUAGAUGGGUGACCGCUUGGGAAUACCAGAGGCUACA